This 322-nucleotide ribosomal RNA is filed under the name uncultured eukaryote. RNAcentral's name for it is "partial 18S ribosomal RNA". It matches the Rfam family "Eukaryotic small subunit ribosomal RNA", at positions 1470 to 1796 of the family's 1831-position model. The record is from RNAcentral.
CCCUUAGAUGUUCUGGGCCGCACGCGUGCUACACUGAGUGGAUCAGCGGGUCAGGUUGCGCGAAAGUGUUUCCUAAUCUUGAAAUCCGCUCGUGAUGGGGAUUGACGGUUGCAAUUUUCCGUCAUGAACGAGGAAUACCUUGUAAGCGCGGGUCAUCAUCCCGCGCUGAAUACGUCCCUGCCCUUUGUACACACCGCCCAUCGCUCCUACCGAUUGAGUGGUCCGGUGAGGCUUUGGGAUCUGAGCGGAAAGAGCGUUUCGCUGUUUCUGCUCGGAAAACUCAGUCGAACCUUAUCAUUUAGAGGAAGGAGAAGUCGUAACA